UCCAUGACCCCGCCUACUCCACUUUCUUAGACGGCAAGUCAUGAAAAAAAGGAGGAUUAAAACGCCCUGCUCGGGCUGCGGCAGUGUGGAGACCUGUCGCAACGCAGACCGUUCCGCGCGGGCGGCUGCAAGCGGUAUCACGCGGAGGCGGAUACUGCGGAGCAAAGGAACAUGGCA
RNAcentral lists this non-coding RNA (177 nucleotides) under unclassified sequences. RNAcentral describes it as "malK-I RNA". It matches the Rfam family "malK-I RNA". The record is from RNAcentral.